UAGCACCUACCUGAAUUAUCAAUUAUCAGUUAUCAAUUUUUUUAUACACAAAAAGCUCUGCACACGUUUUAGAUAAAAAGCUCCCCUUUCUUUCUUUCCUUGUUUUUUUUUUUUUCCACUGAAGCUCAUCUUCUCCCUAUUCUCCAUUGCCACCACGAGGCAACUUAAUCGUGCGUGGUCCUCGAUCUUGAACUCGCCAUUCUCCAAGAUUCACUGUGCGUUCUUGAUCUCCUUGUUCUCCAAGCUUUAUCACGCUCAGAUUCUCGAUCUCGGCAUCAUCAUGACGAGCUUCGUCUUGGCUAUUCUGUCUUGUGGUUCUCCAAGCUUUGUCACGAGUUCUCCAAUCCAGUGUUUGUCCAAGCUUCUUGCUGCGUCCUUGUCAGUAUGUGUAUUUCCAACCGAAACGAUUUCCAGAAAGGUUUAAUGAAACCCUGAAACGUCUUUGUGGUCAAUAGAUUUCAAAGAGGAAACGUCGAUGCUAUGGUGUAGAGGAACAAGGGAGGGGGUGGGUGGUAGGGUUGAUGAUUAAAAGAGAUGGGGAUGCAAGGAGCAUAUACUUUCCUCUGCGUUGUGCUUUAGCAACUGCUCCGCUCAUUUUUUUUUUCCAAUUAUGCCCUACUCUCGCUGGCCAUCACCUCCUAUUCUAUCCAUUGUCCUUCGGAAUCUCCUUUCCCAUUCCGCCUCUCCCAAAACCGUGCCGUUGUGUUCUGCUCUGUCGAAGAAGCAGCCGCUAAGUGCCAACGGUAAAAGUGUCGCCUCUGUAUCGAGCCGCCCCUGAAUGCACUUCACCUCUCACUUUACUUGCAAUGCCAUUAUCAAUUCAUUACUUUCAUGUACCGGGCUAAGAGGUAUAACGAUUUAUUUCUUUAACCAGUCCUAGAUGGUGCCCAAUAUUGGGUCUUAUAUUUAAUAUAAGGGUGAAGGUGUAUUUUUGUGCGCGAUGUAUUUUCUGAGGAGUAUUUAAUAUUCUAAAGUAUUUAUUAGAGUAAUUUUGCCCUAAUAUUAUCAAAACAGAACAUUUUUGCCCUUUUCGUUGAAAUUCUAAUGUUGAUUGGUAGAAAAUUUAAUGGAAAAAUUUCAACAAAAAGGACAAAAAUACUUCAUUUUGAUAAAUUAGGAGUAAAAUUGCUCCAACAAAUAUUUUAGAGUAUUGGGUUAUGGUAGGGACAAAAAUGCACCUUUACCCUUAAUACAAUAGCCAAUGAGCUUUCUUCAUGAUAGUGAGUGGUAAAGAUGAACCGAGCUGCAAGAUGAAUGAGAGAAUGUGUAACAUCCCAAUUUAAAUUUUAAUAGUUAAUUUGAUUAAUUGAAAUUUAAAAAAAUAAUAUUUAGAGGUAAGAAAAUUAGUAAGAGAUGAUUAUUAAAUCUAACUUAGGAUAUAAUUCUAAAAAAAAUUUAAAAAAAUUAAAAAAAAAUUAAAAAAAUAAAAAAAAUAUUAUUAAAUUAUUAUUAUGAUAAAAAAAAGGGAAAAGGUAUUAAAAAAAAGGGGGAAGAAGAAGAAGAACAAAAUUGCUUUCGGCCGCCGCACAACAAUCAUUAUGUAUAUAAUAAUAAUAAAAAAAAAGGAGAAAGAGAAAAGAAGAAAUAAUAAAAAAAACUGUGUGGGACCCACUGAAUUUUUAUAAAAACUCACCUGUUCCUUCGUUUCUUCAUUCAUUCCUUCGUGCACGCUGAGGCAGAGAGAACGCGAGUCGCCGGUGCGAAAUAUCUAAAUUUUUAAGGUAAGAGUUUUUAAUAGGAUAUUUAGGGUGUGAUUUUAAGCUUUUCAAGACUAAGUAAGUGUUCUAAAAAAUUUUUUUAGUCAUCCUUCUUCUUUGGUUUCUGAGUUUGUAGUGGUAGAAAAUUUAAGAUCUGGAAGAGGGAUGAAUUUAUGUUGAAUAAAUAUGGUUUUUGAGGUUGUCAGUAGUAUAAUAAAUGUUCUAGAGUAUAAAUUUGUUGAUGAUCUUUGAAUUUGUGGCUUAUGGAUCAAAUUCUAAACUAGAUCUGAAAAUAUAUGUUGAUUUAUUGAGGUUUAGAUGAUUAUUUGGGAUGAGAAAUGAAUUAUUAUGGUUAUAGGAUUAUGAUUCUAAGCUAGAGACUCAAUUUUUAAUUUUUGGAUAUUUUAGGUACGAAUUUAUGAAAUAAAAAGAAAAUUUUGAUAAUAGAAAUUAGUUUAGAAGUUGAUUUUUAGAUUAUUAAUGUUUAUUGAUAAUUAAAAGAGGAGUUAAAAACUUUACUUAAUAGUAUUAACUAUAGAUUUGUAUUAAGAUUGAGAUUAGGAAUUAUGUUAUAUUUUUAAUUCUAUUAUUAGAAUUAUUUUAUUAGUUUCAAAAAUUAAAACUAAUAUUUAUAAAUAAUAUGUUAUUUUGUAGAUUGUAUUACUGGUGAAGAUUGUGGUGAGAGAGAAAUUUUAAGGAAUAAUUUAUUGAAAAAGCCACAAGGAGAAGAGCCACGAGUGACACGUGGAGGAGUCCCAGAGGCUCAGUGGUAUAGAUCCACUGUCUCUUUUGGGUAUUUAAUUUAUGAUUUAUAAUGUGUUAUAUUGCCAAUAUUAGGGCUUUUUAUUUAUUAUCAAUUAUAUGAAUAUAUAAAUGUAAUCAUGCCUUUCAAACUAUUUCUAUUUUUGGUACAAUUUGGAUGACUGUAAUUUUAAUAUUUGGUUUACUUUGGAUUGGUUAAAAUGGCAUGAUUAUAAGGCCAAAUAACUGGCUUGUGGUGAAAAUUGACUAAAUUGCUUAUUUUACUUGUUGGGAGUAUAAGGAUGGACAAAUGUGAUUUAGUUUACUUGUUGGGAGUAUAAGGAUAGACAAAUGUGAUUUAGCCUAAUGGCAUGUGGGAGGUAAAAAUUUAUCUGAAAUGUUAUAGUGUGUGAGUUGAAGCUAAUUAUAAAAUAUUUUAUAUUCAAAUUAUUGAUAUAAGAAUGUGUUGGGUGGCUGUAACCCAACUAUGGUUGAGUUAAAUUAUUUUUAAAAAAAAAAUUUGGUGUGUUACAGAAUGGAGCUUUAAUGAGUAUAUGCUUUAAUCUAAGCAACAAAAUCAAAUCUAAGUUUCUUCGCCUCACAGAAGAAGAGAGUUAAUGGAACUUGGCAUAACAAUGGGAAGAACAUUUGUUGAACACAUUUGUAUAUCCUCUCUCUUGGUUUGUGUGUGUGUGUGUGUGUGUUUGUUUGUUUGUUUUCUUUGGUUGCUUCUUUCUGUUCCAGUCAAUAUCAAUAUAGUGCUUGGCACUGAAUAUUGCAGGAAGAUGAGAGAAGCUUAUAAUGCCAAGAAUGAUAAAUGUGGCUAUUUUUAGAAAUAGAUUGAUUAAGCAACGAAAGUUGUUAACCGUUUUGAAAUCAGAAUGGCCAUUUUGUAGGAGAAUAUUCAGCAGAUGAUGCAUGGAACUUUGUAGUGGUGGAAGUGAGGAGGUGCAAAAGUUCAGUAUACAAAGUGAUGAAGAAAAGUCUGAAGAAUAUAUAAUUCUGAGGAUUAAAUCAUUGUGAAAAUCUUAGAAAAGAUGGUAUAUCUAAUUCUCAAACUGUACAAUCUUUGUAAUGGAAGUCUCAUCUAAUGAAUAAUGAGAAGAUUUUAUUGUUUGUGAUAUGUGGACUUCUUCGUUUUACUUUCAUGUUGAUUUGGUACGUAAAUAUGUUGACGGUAAGUAGAUUUAUUGCUUUUACUUAAGUUUUGGCUGGGGAGGAAGGGUCCUACCUCUCGCCAUUAUCUGGAUAUCAGUUCUUUUCCCUAUUUCUUCUUCAAAGUCUUCUUUCUUUCAUGUUAAUUGCUUGGUAAAACACAUUGAAGAUAUAAUUUCUAUUUAUGUUGGUCAAAAUUUAAAAUUUUAGAAUGAUGAAAACUUGAUAAUCUCUUAAGCCACAUUGUAAUGUGUCAAGUUAAGCUUCUGAAUCUUUAAAAGUAUUGCAAACCAAUAGUUCAAGGAAAAAUUAGUGAGUAACAAUAAAAUUUGAUUGAAAUUAUACCAUACUGUAACUGAUGAAUCUGUGUUGGUAAAAACUAAUUGAUUUCUGAAACCAUACUAAGGUUAAAUCAAGGAACAAGGUGUCUUAGCCAGUGAUAUCAAUAAACUACCUUAGAAGUGC
Long non-coding RNA from Prosopis cineraria, 4058 nucleotides. RefSeq lists it as uncharacterized. The record is from RefSeq and is a predicted model, not a curated record. Lineage: Eukaryota; Viridiplantae; Streptophyta; Magnoliopsida; Fabales; Fabaceae. The transcript is spliced from 3 exons.